Molecule: ribosomal RNA, 253 nt
Filed under: uncultured bacterium
Lineage: Bacteria
Description: partial 16S ribosomal RNA
Rfam family: Bacterial small subunit ribosomal RNA
Source: RNAcentral
UACGUAGGGGGCUAGCGUUGUCCGGAAUCAUUGGGCGUAAAGAGCGCGUAGGCGGCCAGAUAAGUCCGGUGUGAAAGUCAAAGGCUCAACCUUUGAAUGCCGCUGGAAACUGUCUGGCUAGAGUCCGGGAGGGGCGAGUGGAAUUCCUGGUGUAGCGGUGAAAUGCGCAGAUAUCGGGAGGAACACCAGUGGCGAAGGCGGCGCUCUGGGCCGGAACUGACGCUGAGGAGCGAAAGCGUGGGUAGCAAACAGG